This is a long non-coding RNA of Canis lupus familiaris (dog), 1701 nucleotides long. RefSeq lists it as uncharacterized. The transcript has 4 exons. The record is from RefSeq and is a predicted model, not a curated record. Lineage: Eukaryota; Metazoa; Chordata; Mammalia; Carnivora; Canidae.
CUAGGUGCACCUACCUAUCUCUGCCCUUCCCCCACUUUGCACCGGGAAUGGGGAGAAGAGGAAAGCAGAAUGGAAGGGAAGGGAAAGAGGUGAUAGAAGGGAGAUGGGUAAUGGAGGAGAGUGUCAUUAAUCAGUGUUAAUUCGCUAAGUGAACAUGCACUGAGCACCCCGUACUGGCUGAGCAGAGUGCCUGUUAAUAAGACAAGUUGCUUGUCCGAGACAGGCACGUUUGGCUUAAGAAAAUAGAGUCACUGGCGAACAACUACUGUCCUCACAAAAGGGAAUAAUUAGCACAAACCAAAGUGCAGAGAACACAGAUGGGGGGGACCUCCCAAGGGGGAAGGCUUUUCAGACAAGGUGCCUUCUGACCCCAAUGCAAGCAGUACACAAGUGUUCUUAGGGUGGCUAAGAGUAAAAAAGGGGGGGGGGGAGCAGGUAUGAGUCCAAGCAAGGACACCACAGAAGUGUGACAGGUGGAGUGAUGCUCAGAGAAGCCCUGGUGCUUCCGAGAGAGCGGUGGAAGAGGAUGCAUGGUGAAGACCAUGAGAGUAGGAGCAGAAGGGCAGGUAGCUUUGACAGCACACUGGGCUCAGCAUUAGGACAGGGAGCAAGGAGGCGAGAGGUAUCCUAUGUGGGAAGGAAGGAGGCAGGUAAAAAAAAAAAAUAACCAGGACCACACAAGGCUCCCCAAUCCAAGGGACCAUUCUUCAUAGCAAAACAUAUGAGGUUCUCAUCAACUCCAAUAAAUCAUGAAUUGGGUCUUCAGGUGCUUUUUACUGUGACUAUGGAUUAUCAUCGUAGGCCACCAGAAGAGUUUCUCUGACUUCUCUGUCUCUGUAGAUUAUCAGUCCCAGCGCAUACAAUUCGAAUACGAGAGCGAUGGCCAAGAGCCAUGGGGUGAAGGUUUCGAAACCUAGGGGAGUGCCGUCUGUCUGGCCACUCAGGGUAGACAAGCGAGGGGGUUAACUGCCAUCCUCCCGACUGAACAAUGUCGAAGCCCUCUGUCCGGCUCACCUCCUGCACAGCAGUUUGAACAGUUGGGCUACAUUAGCGUGGGUGCCGAGGAGGCUGACCUUCAUUUAUAAGCUCAGUCCAUUCAUCUCUAUGGCAUCUCCAGGAGUUGUUAACUGCUUUGGGAAAGUCACAGAGGAGCACUUGAUAUCCUUGGGGGACAGAGCGAAGACCAGGCCAGAAUGAAUGGAGGAGCCUCUUGCCGGCUCUGAACCAACUUCAGGGCAGUUUAGCCACUGACCUCAUAACAGACGUGACUUUCUGGGACCCUGAUGCUACUGGCUGAAGAUUCCUUUCUCACGUGUGCUAUGUGCCUCCCUCUCCCAGCUCCAUUUCCUCAAGGGCUUUUUGGCCCUGAACAGCAGGAUUUAAAAGAAAUAACAGCAUAGCCAGUCAAACCACCAGCACCAAAACACCAUCCGAUUGACCAGAACCAAGCAGGGAGAAGUGCUCAGGAAAAAUAAGGUACUCACUCCUACUGAGAGAAGGAAUGGGAAUCAGACUGUUUGGGUGGGAAGAGGGCCAGCCGGAGAACGCCUGGAUCCCCAACUGGAACAGCACGGUGAUGAGGGGAGGACGCUGCCGGGAGACACAUCUGCCUUAGACCAGAUGUUCUUAUUAAUACGGUUUUCUAUCCCAAUUUAAAAAAACCCAGCUAGGGCAGCCCGGGUGGCGCGGUGGUUGAGCGUC